Molecule: ribosomal RNA, 484 nt
Filed under: uncultured bacterium
Lineage: Bacteria
Description: partial 16S ribosomal RNA
Rfam family: Bacterial small subunit ribosomal RNA
Source: RNAcentral
AUUGAACGCUGGCGGCAGGCCUAACACAUGCAAGUCGAGCGGAUGAAGGGAGCUUGCUCCUGGAUUCAGCGGCGGACGGGUGAGUAAUGCCUAGGAAUCUGCCUGGUAGUGGGGGAUAACGUCCGGAAACGGGCGCUAAUACCGCAUACGUCCUGAGGGAGAAAGUGGGGGAUCUUCGGACCUCACGCUAUCAGAUGAGCCUAGGUCGGAUUAGCUAGUUGGUGGGGUAAAGGCCUACCAAGGCGACGAUCCGUAACUGGUCUGAGAGGAUGAUCAGUCACACUGGAACUGAGACACGGUCCAUACUCCUACGGUAGGCAGCAGUGGGGAAUAUUGGACAAUGGGCGAAAGCCUGAUCCAGCCAUGCCGCGUGUGUGAAGAAGGUCUUCGGAUUGUAAAGCACUUUAAGUUGGGAGGAAGGGCAGUAAGUUAAUACCUUGCUGUUUUGACGUUACCAACAGAAUAAGCACCGGCUAACUUCGUG